CGUUUCACAACCCUGCUGACAGCCGAGGAUCCAGGAAGGAACCAGAGAGGGUCAACCAGAGACACUGCAGGUGGGCGGGGCCAGCGGGGCUCUGGGUGGAGCUGGUUCCUGAGGACUGGAGGCUCCACUGCGGCGCUGGACUGGAACGCAACGAGUGGAGAGAAAAACCUUCCUGUUGGCUUUUAAAGGAAACUUCAAGACAUGUCUUCAACACUGGAGAAAUGGGACAGCAGAGACCUGCCGCCUGACCUGUCAGAUCUGGUCAAUAAACUUCAGCUGGAUUCAGAUUCUUUCACCUCGCUGCUCAACAGCAAUGAACCAAGGAUGAGGGAGAUCGUGGAGGAGCUUCUGAGGAUUUCUGAAGAAGUCAAAGACAUGCAGAGAAGAAAAGACAGUCAGAGAAGAGUUGGAGCUGUUGUUGGAGCUGUAGGUGGAGUUGGAGCUGCUGUCUUCCUGCUCGGUGCAGCAUUCCCACUUACUCUUCCAAUUGCUGCAGCUCUUGCAGGUGGAGGUGCUGUCAUAUAUGCAAAUGUCACUAAAAUGCUGGUUGAGAGUGGAAAUGCUGAAAAGGUGAAGAAUCUGGGAGCAGAGUUGAUGGAGAUUGUUGAACCGAUGAAGCAGCUCUUGGUUCAUAUCCAUCAAACAUGUAAAGAUCUGGAGGAGAAAGGCUCCAAGUAUCAGGCUGAAGAGUCCCUGAAAGAUGUGGAGGAUCUUCAGAAGGUCCUCCAUCAGGUGUCUGAGCUGAAGAAGAAGAGUGGAGGAGCUGUUCAUGUGGUGGAGGUGUUGAUUCAAUCAGUGACCAGCCUGCUGCUGCUGCUCGUGAACGUUUUCAGAGUCACUGCAACACCUGAAGAAGACCAGAAGCUGAGAGACGCCAUCAUUCAGUCAGCUGAUCAGAGCCAGAGGCUCACUGAGGACUUCUGUCUGAUGAGGGAGGAACUGGCAAAGUUCAGGAAGUGAAGAGAACACACACACGUCCUGUGUGUUCACUAUUAACAUGUCAAAUUAUCUCAUUAAUUCAGUUCAGUCAUUACAGUCAGAUUUAGCAACUUUUGUUCUUUUAUCCUGUUAAUCUAGUUAUUAAUUUCCAGCUGUAUUGCUUCUGUGUGUGAGUUUCCUUCAUAUAAAAAACUUUUUCAUGCUUUGGGCUUCUUGUGCUUGAGCUGCUGGCAGGGCUGUGACCAGAUCUCGCGAGAUUAACCCAUGACGAGAUUUCCGGUUUCAAUGCAGAAGGCAGCAGCUGGGACAUUUCGCCAAACAUGGACAACGGAGCAGUUUUUCUGGCAAAUUCCAGUCGGAGCGGACAGGAAAACGGUCAGGAGACAGUUUGAAGUCCGUCUUCCAGCGUCCUGCAGAAGAUACUGACGGUUCUUGGCUUGAUGAAGCUUCUUCUCCUGGCCUGGAGUUUGUUUACAGCAGCGGAGUGUGGAGCUCCGGCUCUGUCUUCUUCUCUGGUGAAUUUCUGGCAGUUAGUUACAGAGUCACAGCGCCACAGCGCUCCUAAAGGCCUGGCAGAGGAACUACAUCGUCGUGAGUCGUUCUCAUGAUGCAGACACUUCUAAGCCCCAAAAUAUUCCUAUUUCAGGAACAUUUAGACUUAAAGUCACUGUUAUUCAACCAAAAAGGUUUUUUUAUAUAUUAUUUGCCAGAAAUGAUACAGGUAUUUUCCAAAAGUUAAGAAGAUGUACAAGAAGCACCGUUGUGGAAAAACAAUAUUUCUAUGUGUUUAUUUACUUUGAAAUAAAAAGUGUCAUGUCCAGAAUUAUUCCCACUCGUC
This is a long non-coding RNA of Salarias fasciatus (jewelled blenny), 1777 nucleotides long. RefSeq lists it as uncharacterized. The record is from RefSeq and is a predicted model, not a curated record. The transcript is spliced from 3 exons. NCBI's taxonomy places the organism in Eukaryota, Metazoa, Chordata, Actinopteri, Blenniiformes, Blenniidae.